This 549-nucleotide ribosomal RNA is filed under the name uncultured bacterium. RNAcentral describes it as "bacterial SSU rRNA". It matches the Rfam family "Bacterial small subunit ribosomal RNA", at positions 356 to 896 of the family's 1533-position model. The record is from RNAcentral.
GGGGAAUCUUCCGCAAUGGACGAAAGUCUGACGGAGCAACGCCGCGUGAGUGAUGACGGCCUUCGGGUUGUAAAGCUCUGUUAAUCGGGACGAAAGGCUUUCUUGCGAAUAGUUAGAAGGAUUGACGGUACCGGAAUAGAAAGCCACGGCUAACUACGUGCCAGCAGCCGCGGUAAUACGUAGGUGGCAAGCGUUGUCCGGAAUUAUUGGGCGUAAAGCGCGCGCAGGCGGAUUGGUCAGUCUGUCUUAAAAGUUCGGGGCUUAACCCCGUGAUGGGAUGGAAACUGCCAAUCUAGAGUAUCGGAGAGGAAAGUGGAAUUCCUAGUGUAGCGGUGAAAUGCGUAGAUAUUAGGAAGAACACCAGUGGCGAAGGCGACUUUCUGGACGAAAACUGACGCUGAGGCGCGAAAGCCAGGGGAGCGAACGGGAUUAGAUACCCCGGUAGUCCUGGCCGUAAACGAUGGGUACUAGGUGUAGGAGGUAUCGACCCCUUCUGUGCCGGAGUUAACGCAAUAAGUACCCCGCCUGGGGAGUACGACCGCAAGGUUG